RNAcentral lists this ribosomal RNA (492 nucleotides) under uncultured bacterium. Its description in RNAcentral is "partial 16S ribosomal RNA". It matches the Rfam family "Bacterial small subunit ribosomal RNA", at positions 29 to 507 of the family's 1533-position model. The record is from RNAcentral.
AGUGAACGCUGGCGGUAGGCCUAACACAUGCAAGUCGAACGGCAGCACAGUAAGAGCUUGCUCUUACGGGUGGCGAGUGGCGGACGGGUGAGGAAUACAUCGGAAUCUACUUUUUCGUGGGGGAUAACGUAGGGAAACUUACGCUAAUACCGCAUACGACCUACGGGUGAAAGCAGGGGAUCUUCGGACCUUGCGCGAUUGAAUGAGCCGAUGUCGGAUUAGCUAGUUGGCGGGGUAAAGGCCCACCAAGGCGACGAUCCGUAGCUGGUCUGAGAGGAUGAUCAGCCACACUGGAACUGAGACACGGUCCAGGCUCCUACGGGAGGCAGCAGUGUGGAAUAUUGGACAAUGGGCGCAAGCCUGAUCCAGCCAUACCGCGUGGGUGAAGAAGGCCUUCGGGUUGUAAAGCCCUUUUGUUGGGAAAGAAAAGCAGCAGGUUAAUACCCCGCUGUUCUGACGGUACCCAAAGAAUAAGCACCGGCUAACUUCGUG